Molecule: unclassified non-coding RNA, 1128 nt
Filed under: Hevea brasiliensis (rubber tree)
Lineage: Eukaryota; Viridiplantae; Streptophyta; Magnoliopsida; Malpighiales; Euphorbiaceae
Source: RNAcentral
GCCGACUCAGACCCCAUAGCUUGUGAGAGAAGAAGAAGAAAUAUCCAGAGAAGAAGAACACAGAAUUUUCCCGCCAAUACGAAAUCUAAGCUUCCUUUGCACUCUCUCUACAUCUAACAGAAACAAGUACCAGUCUAAUUCUCUUCUGUAAUGGGAAUCAAUUAAAUUACGAUGAGAAUGGAAGCUAAAAGGAGCAGAAGAAGUAGUAGAAAGCCGCUUUCAGAUUGCACCAACUCCAUCAAUUCUAUAAACCCUUCUCAAUCUUCUUCAACCUCUGCCAAAAACUCCUCUUCUAUUAUCAAACCCAGUAAAUUCUUACCCACAACAACCGAAACCCAAAAGAAAUCAACCACUGGAUGUACCACUCGAAACGACAACGCCCUAUUAAACCCUAGUACCGUUUCGCUUCCUACCGCUUCCACGCCUCCUCGGGCUCAAAAACCUUCUUCUCUUGCUGGGACUCCUAGUCAUAAGGUUUCUGAGCCAUGUUCAGUUUACAGUCGGAGACUAUCAGUAGAUAAGAGGAAGAGUAAAGGGAAGGCAGUUGCUGUGCCUAUGAGUUGCUUUCCUGCCGUAAAGACUCAAUUUACUAGGGAUGAAAUGAAUGAAGGUGGAGUUGCAAAGUUAUCCAAAUCCUGUACAGUGCCUUGCAAAAAGAAGCGAUGCCAGACUGAGAAAGAUAUUGCCAAUUAUGCCCUGCCACAGGAUUUUAUUGAGCAGCAAAGAGCUUACUUUGCAGAAAUUGAUGCUUUUGAGCUCUCAGAGGAGGAAGUUACUUCCGUUGAUGACUUGGACUGAAUGAAUGCUAUAUUAAGUAUAUAAUUCUGGGUGAGCAAACAAGGCAACAGAACGCUGGAAUUUUGUCUUGUGUAGUUGAGAAUAGCUUAGUUGAUAGUUGAUACAUUCUAGCGUAAUGACCACCUAACCAAUUAUAUGAUGUAAGUGCUUGAUACUUGCUGUUGUAUUCUAACGUGCAUGGAGAAAUGAUUAUUCUUUUCGGUAGAAAAUACAGCAAGUCUCUCUCUUUAGACAAUAGUCAUUAUGCAAUUGUGGAUAGUAAAUUCUUCAAAUCACUCUAUUGCAGUUGUAACUUUUGAUUCCCACAUUCAUACAUGGCAGAGAAUUCCC